GAGACCCUACGGGACGCAGCAGUAGGGAAUCUUCCACAAUGGGCGAAAGCCUGAUGGAGCAACGCCGCGUGGGUGAAGAAGGUCUUCGGAUCGUAAAACCCUGUUGUUAGAGAAGAAAGUGCGUGAGAGUAACUGUUCACGUUUCGACGGUAUCUAACCAGAAAGUCACGGCUAACUACGUGCCAGCAGCCGCGGUAAUACGUAGGUGGCAAGCGUUAUCCGGAUUUAUUGGGCGUAAAGGGAGCGCAGGCGGUCUUUUAAGUCUGGUGUGAAAGCCUUCGGCUUAACCGGAGUAGUGCAUUGGA
RNAcentral lists this ribosomal RNA (305 nucleotides) under uncultured bacterium. Its description in RNAcentral is "bacterial SSU rRNA". It matches the Rfam family "Bacterial small subunit ribosomal RNA", at positions 334 to 630 of the family's 1533-position model. The record is from RNAcentral.